Molecule: ribosomal RNA, 255 nt
Filed under: uncultured bacterium
Lineage: Bacteria
Description: partial 16S ribosomal RNA
Rfam family: Bacterial small subunit ribosomal RNA
Source: RNAcentral
CGGACGGGUGAGUAACGCGUGGAUAACCUGCCUCAUACAGGGGGAUAACAGUUAGAAAUGACUGCUAAUACCGCAUAAGCACACGGGAGCGCAUGCUUCCGGGUGAAAAGCUCCGGCGGUAUGAGAUGGAUCCGCGUCUGAUUAGCUGGUUGGCGGGGUAACGGCCCACCAAGGCGACGAUCAGUAGCCGACCUGAGAGGGUGGCCGGCCACAUUGGGACUGAGACACGGCCCAAACUCCUACGGAAGGCAGCAG